RNAcentral lists this ribosomal RNA (375 nucleotides) under uncultured bacterium. RNAcentral describes it as "bacterial SSU rRNA". It matches the Rfam family "Bacterial small subunit ribosomal RNA", at positions 521 to 896 of the family's 1533-position model. The record is from RNAcentral.
UAAUACGAACUGUGCGAACGUUAUUCGGAAUCACUGGGCUUACAGGGUGCGUAGGCGGCUUUUCAAGUCAGGUGUGAAAGCCCCCGGCUCAACCGGGGAAUUGCGCUUGAAACUGGAGAGCUCGAGUCAGCUAGAGGUGCACGGAACUUCCAGUGGAGCGGUGAAAUGUGUUGAUAUUGGAAGGAACACCGGAGGCGAAAGCGGUGCACUGGGGCUGGUCUGACGCUGAGGCACGAAAGCCAGGGUAGCGAACGGGAUUAGAUACCCCGGUAGUCCUGGCCGUAAACGAUGAGUGCUGGACGGGAGGGGGUUCGCCCUUUCCGGUCGGAGCGAAAGCGGGAAGCACUCCGCCUGGGGAGUAUGGUCGCAAGGCUG